This 491-nucleotide ribosomal RNA is filed under the name uncultured bacterium. RNAcentral describes it as "partial 16S ribosomal RNA". It matches the Rfam family "Bacterial small subunit ribosomal RNA", at positions 29 to 507 of the family's 1533-position model. The record is from RNAcentral.
AGUGAACGCUGGCGGUAGGCCUAACACAUGCAAGUCGACGGCAGCACAGUAAGAGCUUGCUCUUACGGGUGGCGAGUGGCGGACGGGUGAGGAAUACAUCGGAAUCUACUUUUUCGUGGGGGAUAACGUAGGGAAACUUACGCUAAUACCGCAUACGACCUACGGGUGAAAGCAGGGGAUCUUCGGACCUUGCGCGAUUGAAUGAGCCGAUGUCGGAUUAGCUAGUUGGCGGGGUAAAGGCCCACCAAGGCGACGAUCCGUAGCUGGUCUGAGAGGAUGAUCAGCCACACUGGAACUGAGACACGGUCCAGACUCCUACGGGAGGCAGCAGUGGGGAAUAUUGGACAAUGGGCGCAAGCCUGAUCCAGCCAUACCGCGUGGGUGAAGAAGGCCUUCGGGUUGUAAAGCCCUUUUGUUGGGAAAGAAAAGCAGCAGGUUAAUACCCCGCUGUUCUGACGGUACCCAAAGAAUAAGCACCGGCUAACUUCGUG